GGAUUGAACGCUGGCGGCAUGCUUUACACAUGCAAGUCGAGCGGCAGCGCGGGGGCAACCCUGGCGGCGAGCGGCGAACGGGUGAGUAAUACAUCGGAACGUACCCCGUAGUGGGGGAUAACUCAGCGAAAGCUGGGCUAAUACCGCAUAUGCUCUGCGGAGGAAAGUGGGGGACCCGCAAGGGCCUCACGCUAGUGGGGAGCGGCCGAGUGUCCGAUUAGCUUGUUGGCGAGGUAAAGGCUACACCGAAGGCGACGAGUCGGUAGCUGGUCUGAGGAGGAUGAUCAGCCACG
This 293-nucleotide ribosomal RNA is filed under the name uncultured soil bacterium. RNAcentral's name for it is "partial 16S ribosomal RNA". It matches the Rfam family "Bacterial small subunit ribosomal RNA", at positions 27 to 312 of the family's 1533-position model. The record is from RNAcentral.